This is a long non-coding RNA of Ictidomys tridecemlineatus (thirteen-lined ground squirrel), 557 nucleotides long. RefSeq lists it as uncharacterized. The record is from RefSeq and is a predicted model, not a curated record. Lineage: Eukaryota; Metazoa; Chordata; Mammalia; Rodentia; Sciuridae.
CAAGACCUGAGAAGACAAGGCCAUAGCUGCAGGCAGAUGCCCUCCACGGGGCAGGAGACUUGGGAGGCGGGUGGGCACACCCCAGCCCCCAAUCUGGCGUGGCCCUUGGAGCCUUGGAUCUUAAUCGGGUGGGAGGAUCUGGCUACCCUGCAGGGGAAGAACCCCAAGGGGAGGGGACCAGGAGCUUCGUCCUGCCCAACCGUCACGACUGCCCCCCCAAACCUGCAGAGACCUGCAGAGUCGGCCGGCCAACGGCAGGGGAAUGGCCGCGGUGAGGCCGGCAAGAUCGGGACAGCUCUAUUUUAGGCCCAGGAGAGGUGAGAAGGCAAUUUCCCAGGAGGCGCUGACAUCAAUGCUUGGAACGAGUCUUCCCUCAGGAAUGACCGUCAUCAGGAGGCCUGGGAUCAGCCCUGCAGCUCUUCCUGCCCUCUGGCUAAUUCUUCCCUCACAAGGUCCAAGCUGGAGUAAUUUGGAACUCAGACUUUGUCACAGCAACUGCAAGAUGCCAGGUCCAGGCCAGAGGAGAGGUCCAUAAAAUCAGAGCUGGGCAGGAGGUG